AUGAAUUGCCGAACCUUGUUUUCAAGGAAGACGAAAAUGGAAACCAUCAACGUUGUAAGAAACAUAGACAUCGCCAUAGAACACCAUUUACAACCUCCCAGAUCAGAACUCGGAUCCACUCCGACCCGGCUGCACGCGCGACAGGACCACUGUCCAUCACCUCUAUCACCAUCGCGAGCUUCUAGUGAACCACCUAUGGAACCUCCACGAAUCGGUACCGCAAUCACAGGAAAAUCUAUAUCAAGCCGCUCCAAAUUUAAAUCAUAUGCCACUUCUCAAAUUUAUCGCCACUCUCGAGUUUGUCUUCUUGCAUUAUUUGUUGAUUUUUAUUCACGGAUGUGUUAG
This is a non-coding RNA of Vicia faba (fava bean), 345 nucleotides long. The record is from the annotation of a GenBank genome assembly. Lineage: Eukaryota; Viridiplantae; Streptophyta; Magnoliopsida; Fabales; Fabaceae.